GCAAAGGUAGCAUAGUCAUUAGUUCUUUAAUUGUGAUCUGGUAUGAAUGGCUUGACGAGGCAUGGGCUGUCUUAAUUUUGAAUUGUUUAUUGAAUUUGGUCUUUGAGUUAAAAUUCUUAGAUGUUUUUAUGGGACGAGAAGACCCUAUAGAGUUUAACAUUUGUUAUGGUCCCCUUUCUGUUUGUGAGGGUUCAUUGGGCCGUUUAAUGUGUUUUGUUGGGGUGAUGGGAGGGAUUAAUUUAACCCCUCCUUUUUAUUAUUAUAUUUAUUUAUAUUUACUUGAUCCAUUUAUUUUGAUUGUAAGAUUAAAUUACCUUAGGGAUAACAGCGUUAUCUUCCUUGAGAGUUCUUAUCGGCAGGGGGGUUUGCG
This 370-nucleotide ribosomal RNA is filed under the name Reticulitermes kanmonensis. Its description in RNAcentral is "partial 16S ribosomal RNA". It matches the Rfam family "Archaeal large subunit ribosomal RNA", at positions 2027 to 2591 of the family's 2987-position model. The record is from RNAcentral. Lineage: Eukaryota; Metazoa; Arthropoda; Insecta; Blattodea; Rhinotermitidae.